AUGCAUAUAAACUACGUUGCCGAGUAUAUAUGUGUAGCACGUAUGCAUAAUGCGAUUGCAGGGAUAUCGCGUCGCUUCGUGUGGACAUUAUAAAUCAGUCGUACGAUCAAUUUCGCAAAGGGCGAUUAAACUUGGUGAUUUCUUGGUUACGUUGUCGCGUUUUAAUUGCAACAUGAUUUUCUUAGGUUAGGUUGCUGAUUUACGUUACGUACUUGAUUAGUGGAUGAUACAUGUAUAAUGUCAUAAGUGUGUCUCUUGCCGGACUUUAACGUAAUACCUUAUAGAGGUUAUGCGUGAGUAAACUAUUUCUUGUCCAAUUUUGAAAAAAUUAUAUAUCUAGGAAUUUUACCCUUUUCUGCAUGCUUGCUCACUGCCAUAUUACACGGCUCGGAAUGGCAAUGCCUUUUACGACUGUAAUUUUUGUGACUCCGACGUAAAAGAGGCCUCCAUUAAGUUGUUACGAUGGCUUUGGUCGCUGCACUGAUCCUUUGGGCCUGUUAAUUAAAUCGCGAACUCUGGACGCUGCCUUGAGGAAUUCUACGAGGAACUUCACUGGAACUGGAAACCCCAUUUGGUACCUCUGCUCUUCACGUUCCUUAUCCUCCACCUUCUUAUUGGAUACUUCGAAAUCGUCGCCCGCGGAAUUUUGUGUCUUCGUGAUAGCCCUCGGACACCAUUAGUGCAUCGUUCCGAGGAUUAUUCGAAAAGAAUUACUUGUAUUCGGUUCUUGACCGAUUUUUGAAUUUUUACAUUUCUUAUUAUUAAAUGUUGAUAAAUGAAAUUUUUUAAUAUUUUGAAAGACUCAAAAAUUUUAUAUGUAGUACAUAUUUUUGCUUACAUGUUGGUACGACUGCUUGGAUCCUUUUUUUAGGUAUGACCGCAUGAAAAGGCUCUUUCAUGAAAAGGCACGCUUCUUUCAAAGAAACCACCGGAAAUAAAUUGAUCUGAUUAUUCCUGGAUAGCUGCGUUACGCCAUAUUGUAAAUUGUUCCGCUUCCGGAAUUUAUAUCAGCCACUUCCUGUAGAAUUGAUGUCAAGCACCGCCCAGCGCAAGUACAUUGUACUACACACUUUUAUAAUUCUUUUCAGAAAGUCCUCACACGACACCGAUCCUGCUACAACUUUCCAGGCGUUAAUCAUAAUAGGAAUUGUUCGUGCUCUCAGUAACGGCUACACCGUGUUCGAUUUCUCUUGCCAUCUUCGGUCAUCCAAUGACGUCUAGCGUCAAUUGUCAGUCCUAAAGAUGCAGCCAAGAUUUUUUUUAACCAGACAAUAGCUUUUUUCCCCGGCUUUUUUUCACUGCCGCGCAAAGUGCCGGCGGAUUAGAAGCGCGAGCAAGGCAGCCGCCUCAGGCGGGGAAUUAUUGUCUCGUGCCUCACGCAGAGCACCAGGUCCCAAAGACCUGGGUCCCGAAGUCCCGGGGUCCUCCUCCCAAGCAUGGAAGCAUCGAAAUAGCGAAAAGGAAUUGCUGGUUCCUAAAGAAGAAAAUAACACAGCCUGGCCAUUCCCAAAAGGGUUGUACUUUUUGGAGUAUUUACUAAGGUGGAGGAGUAAGGAACGAGUUAUUGACUCGUUCGAUCCUGGGUUACGCCCCGACCUACCUUAACUUUAACAUAGUAUCCUGCCACGAGGGUCCGACCCACGACGCCGAGAGUAUCGGAUCUCUUCUAGGAGACUUUGAAAUUUUUAUUCCGACUGAAAUUCCACGAAGAAAGUCAAUAUCCGAACAGCGUCGAACAAUCGGAACACGAUAAAUUGCUGGCUUCGUUAGUGAAAUCAACGCAUCGGUACCGGCGGCGUUAAAUCGCUUUCAUCGGCAAGCAGAGCUCAGGAACUCGGAGCAGAUAGGAGCGACAGAGAAG
Cephus cinctus (wheat stem sawfly) is the source of this 1861-nucleotide long non-coding RNA. RefSeq lists it as uncharacterized. The record is from RefSeq and is a predicted model, not a curated record. Lineage: Eukaryota; Metazoa; Arthropoda; Insecta; Hymenoptera; Cephidae. The transcript has 7 exons.